CUGGGCACAGUUCACUCAAAAACCAUUAACUAUAGUUAAUUUGUACUGUUUUAAACUUAAAAAAAUUAAACUAUUUAUACUAAAAACCUAUUGUACUGUUUAAUGGUUCAAUUUAAAAAUACUGAACUUCUUACACAGUUAGCUAUUAAUUGGGGUUAACUGAAGUUUAGGUCAUUUCUUCUCAGUCACAAUUUUCUCCCUUUCUCAACUCGCCGCCAGUCAAAUGCCAUCAAAGGCUCGUUGUUGAAGGUUUGUUGCCGCCACCGUCGAUUCUUCGCUGCCGCCAUCGAAGGCUCACCUCACCAAUAAAGGCUUUUCUGUACUCUAUCGUCGUCGAACUGUCGAAGGCUCUACCACCAUCGUCGAAGGUUCGUUGUCGUUGAAGGAUCGUCCCCGUUGAAGGCUCACCGCUAUCGGAGGUUUUUCUGCUC
Molecule: long non-coding RNA, 431 nt
Filed under: Vigna radiata
Lineage: Eukaryota; Viridiplantae; Streptophyta; Magnoliopsida; Fabales; Fabaceae
Description: long non-coding RNA (VRAD_LNC017490)
Source: RNAcentral